RNAcentral lists this ribosomal RNA (465 nucleotides) under uncultured Klebsiella sp. Its description in RNAcentral is "bacterial SSU rRNA". It matches the Rfam family "Bacterial small subunit ribosomal RNA", at positions 338 to 795 of the family's 1533-position model. The record is from RNAcentral. Lineage: Bacteria; Pseudomonadati; Pseudomonadota; Gammaproteobacteria; Enterobacterales; Enterobacteriaceae.
CCUACGGGCGGCAGCAGUGGGGAAUAUUGCACAAUGGGCGCAAGCCUGAUGCAGCCAUGCCGCGUGUGUGAAGAAGGCCUUCGGGUUGUAAAGCAUUUUCAGCGGGGAGGAAGGCGGUGAGGUUAAUAACCUCAUCGAUUGACGUUACCCGCAGAAGAAGCACCGGCUAACUCCGUGCCAGCAGCCGCGGUAAUACGGAGGGUGCAAGCGUUAAUCGGAAUUACUGGGCGUAAAGCGCACGCAGGCGGUCUGUCAAGUCGGAUGUGAAAUCCCCGGGCUCAACCUGGGAACUGCAUUCGAAACUGGCAGGCUAGAGUCUUGUAGAGGGGGGUAGAAUUCCAGGUGUAGCGGUGAAAUGCGUAGAGAUCUGGAGGAAUACCGGUGGCGAAGGCGGCCCCCUGGACAAAGACUGACGCUCAGGUGCGAAAGCGUGGGGAGCAAACAGGAUUAGAUACCCCAGUAGUC